Molecule: ribosomal RNA, 468 nt
Filed under: uncultured bacterium
Lineage: Bacteria
Description: partial 16S ribosomal RNA
Rfam family: Bacterial small subunit ribosomal RNA
Source: RNAcentral
GAUGAACGCUGGCGGCGUGCUUAACACAUGCAAGUCGAACGGAAAGGCCCAAGCUUGCUUGGGUACUCGAGUGGCGAACGGGUGAGUAACACGUGGGUGAUCUGCCCUGCACUUCGGGAUAAGCCUGGGAAACUGGGUCUAAUACCGGAUAGGACGAUGGUUUGGAUGCCAUUGUGGAAAGUUUUUUCGGUGUGGGAUGAGCUCGCGGCCUAUCAGCUUGUUGGUGGGGUAAUGGCCUACCAAGGCGUCGACGGGUAGCCGGCCUGAGAGGGUGUACGGCCACAUUGGGACUGAGAUACGGCCCAGACUCCUACGGGAGGCAGCAGUGGGGAAUAUUGCACAAUGGGCGCAAGCCUGAUGCAGCGACGCCGCGUGGGGGAUGACGGCCUUCGGGUUGUAAACUCCUUUCGCUAGGGACGAAGCGUUUUCGUGACGGUACCUGGAGAAGAAGCACCGGCUAACUACGUG